CCGGUAAACGGCGGCCGUAACUAUAACGGUCCUAAGGUAGCGAAAUUCCUUGUCGGGUAAGUUCCGACCUGCACGAAUGGCGUAAUGAUGGCCAGGCUGUCUCCACCCGAGACUCAGUGAAAUUGAACUCGCUGUGAAGAUGCAGUGUACCCGCGGCAAGACGGAAAGACCCCGUGAACCUUUACUAUAGCUUGACACUGAACAUUGAGCCUUGAUGUGUAGGAUAGGUGGGAGGCUUUGAAGUGUGGAC
RNAcentral lists this ribosomal RNA (250 nucleotides) under Escherichia coli. RNAcentral describes it as "partial 23S ribosomal RNA". It matches the Rfam family "Bacterial large subunit ribosomal RNA", at positions 1920 to 2169 of the family's 2925-position model. The record is from RNAcentral. Lineage: Bacteria; Pseudomonadati; Pseudomonadota; Gammaproteobacteria; Enterobacterales; Enterobacteriaceae.